This is a long non-coding RNA of Onychomys torridus (southern grasshopper mouse), 493 nucleotides long. RefSeq lists it as uncharacterized. Lineage: Eukaryota; Metazoa; Chordata; Mammalia; Rodentia; Cricetidae. The transcript has 3 exons. The record is from RefSeq and is a predicted model, not a curated record.
UUUUUGUGUGUUUGUUUUCUUCCCCCACAAGACUUGUUAACAAAUGUCCAAAUUCAUGGGAGUCUUAAGGCUGCACACUGCGUAUUAAAAGUAAGAUAAGAAUGUUCUUCUGAUAAAAACAGCUCUGCUUCACAAACAGGAUUCUCCCGGUUUCUUUCUUUAAAUAUAUGGAGAAUUGCAGGCAUAAAAGUAAAAGUUCCAUCUACUCGCCAUCAACUUCAACAGUUACAUGCUGAACGUCAUUUCAUCUCUAGAACAGUGUGCAGCUCUAAAAGAUGCAGAGAAAUCGGAAAAGCGCUGGAAGUGCUUCUGUGCCACCAUCAUGGCUCCCUGCGUUGUCUUCCACCUCACUGCCCUUGUUUUUGUUAAGUUGGAAUUGUGCUCCCUUUUCUACAGCUGUGGGAAGCAGAUUUGAGAUGGAACUACAGGAAGGAAGUGGCAUAGGACCAGUAUCUAUGAAGGGGAAGUCGGCGUCAGUGCAUCUUUGCAGGAA